UACGGAGGGGACUAGCGUUGUUCGGAAUUACUGGGCGUAAAGCGUACGUAGGCGGAUUGGAAAGUAUAGGGUGAAAUCCCAGGGCUCAACCCUGGAACUGCCUUGUAAACUACUAGUCUAGAGUUCGAGAGAGGUGAGUGGAAUUCCAAGUGUAGAGGUGAAAUUCGUAGAUAUUUGGAGGAACACCAGUGGCGAAGGCGGCUCACUGGCUCGAUACUGACGCUGAGGUACGAAAGUGUGGGGAGCAAAC
This 250-nucleotide ribosomal RNA is filed under the name uncultured bacterium. RNAcentral describes it as "partial 16S ribosomal RNA". It matches the Rfam family "Bacterial small subunit ribosomal RNA", at positions 524 to 773 of the family's 1533-position model. The record is from RNAcentral.